UUUAUUGGGGUAAGGUUAAUUAAGAGAAUGGUAAAGUGUGGAAUAAUCUUAUAACAAGAUUAAUAGCACUAUUAUGGUGAUUUUCUUUCAGAAUUCUCUCCAGACUUGAUCUCUUGGGAGACUAAGAUCACCACCUCUGAUGCAUUCUUCAAUAAGAGAAAAGAAAUAUGGCAAGGAGGGAGCCUCUGAAAUUGCUGAGAAUAGAUUCUUCCUAACUAGAGAAACCAUGAAAUCAGCUCCAUCUUUGGAUCCCUGGUAUUUUCCUGUGGAAUUUAAUACCUGGCAUUGUGAACCAUGGUGGGCCUGCUGUUGACGCCCAGAGGAAUCAGGGAGCCUAACUAUG
This 343-nucleotide long non-coding RNA is filed under the name Sus scrofa (pig). Its description in RNAcentral is "lncRNA (ENSSSCG00050018613.1)". Lineage: Eukaryota; Metazoa; Chordata; Mammalia; Artiodactyla; Suidae. The record is from RNAcentral.